GACGAACGCUGGCGGCGUGCCUAACACAUGCAAGUCGUACGGAGUUCACUUGGAAGCUUGCUUCCGAGUGAACUUAGUGGCGGACGGGUGAGUAACGCGUGAGCAACCUGCCUCACAGAGGGGGAUAACACACGGAAACGUGUGCUAAUACCGCAUAAUCCGAUGAAGCGGCAUCGCUUUAUCGGCAAAGGAGCAAUCCGCUGUGAGAUGGGCUCGCGUCCGAUUAGAUAGUUGGUGAGGUAACGGCUCACCAAGUCUACGAUCGGUAGCCGGACUGAGAGGUUGGACGGCCACAUUGGGACUGAGACACGGCCCAAACUCCUACGGGAGGCAGCAGUGAGGGAUAUUGCACAAUGGGCGAAAGCCUGAUGCAGCGACGCCGCGUGAGGGAUGACGGUCUUCGGAUUGUAAACCUCUGUUCCUUGGUGUAAGAAGAAAGUGACGGUAGCCAAGGAGGAAGCCACGGCUAACUACGUCGCCAGCAGACC
Molecule: ribosomal RNA, 488 nt
Filed under: uncultured bacterium
Lineage: Bacteria
Description: bacterial SSU rRNA
Rfam family: Bacterial small subunit ribosomal RNA
Source: RNAcentral